This 706-nucleotide ribosomal RNA is filed under the name Pseudo-nitzschia micropora. Its description in RNAcentral is "eukaryotic LSU rRNA". The stretch from base 253 to 407 matches the Rfam family "5.8S ribosomal RNA". Lineage: Eukaryota; Bacillariophyta; Bacillariophyceae; Bacillariales; Bacillariaceae. The record is from RNAcentral.
GACCUGCGGAAAGAUCAUUACCACACCGAUCCAAGAUCAGUCUUCAUUGUGAAUCUGAUUUCAGAGGCAGCCUAGCUGUUCUCUGUCGUCAACUUUAACUUUUAUCGCGACCUCUGCUUCGGCAUCGUUUCACGCACCCCCCAUAUUCUAUAUGGAAACUAGAAAGAACCAAAUGACCUAAAGCUAAAGUGCAGUUGGUCUGGUGUUGAGCCUCGUGCCAACACCGCCCUGUACACAAACCUAAUGACUUACAACUUUCAGCGGUGGAUGUCUAGGUUCCCACAACGAUGAAGAACGCAGCGAAAUGCGAUACGUAAUGCGAAUUGCAAGACCUCGUGAAUCAUUAAGAUUUUGAACGCACAUUGCGCUUUCGGGAUUUUCCUGAUAGCAUGCUUGUCUGAGUGUCUGUGGAUCCCACUCAGCACUGGUCUAAUCUUUAGACUAGUAGCUGGUUGCUUUGGCCUUGACUGCCUCUGGCUGUCUCUGCUUAAAUUCUACAACACGUACGUGCAUAGAUCUAGAAAAGUCUUAGCCUGUUCUUAGGACGGCGUUGACAUUCUCAUCUAUCUCUGGUAGCUUGUCUCUGGAGUUCACUGAGUUUGUUAUCAGCUGUUCGAAAAACUACUGAGUCUAUCUCUAAGUCUAGCUUGCAGUUUACUGCUCGCUAUCUAAUUCCGGAUCUCAGAUCAAGCAAGAUGACCCGCUG